Molecule: non-coding RNA, 2093 nt
Organism: Odocoileus virginianus texanus
Lineage: Eukaryota; Metazoa; Chordata; Mammalia; Artiodactyla; Cervidae
Source: RefSeq, a predicted model, not a curated record
ACCUGAAAUUAACACAGCAUUGUAAAUCAACUAUGCUUCAGUAAAAAGAAAAAUGUCUCCAGACAUCGCCAAGUGUCUCCAAGAUUGAGGUAUGGGGUCAAAAUGCGCUCAAUAGAGAACUGCCCUAUUAGCUCAAGUAGAAAUCUAGACUUUUUCUUUUCUUUGAUCAUAUUACUGUGUGAUGUUGUGGAUAGCAUGUUACUUGAAUCCAGGGUGUCUAACUGCAUUCCCCGCCCCCACAUUAUCAAAAAAGUGAUCUUGGACAUUGAGUCCUAUGCCUUCAGCCACCCCCAUUACACCUCUGCAGGGGAGUGGGUGUCAUGUUAACUGUCUAGAGAAGUGUCUACUCUGAGCUCAAGGUGCUAUUCCUGCUUUCCUACAAAUGAAUUAAAUCAACUAAAACAAUCUAUAAACUCUGCAGGGCUCCAUCAUUAAGGCAAACAUACAAAAUGAGUCAAAGUGAAAAGUCAGCUUUCCCCUGAAGUGUGACUUUUUAAAUUAGUUGAAUUGAUUACAAGGUCAGCAAUAAUGGCGUAUUAACACCACCCUGAUCCAUGCCGUGUGACGGGCAGAUUUUAAGAGUGUGGGUGAUGGAGGGGAGGGUGGAGUGUGUAGUUGAGUCCAUUCCAGGAGGUGAUUCUGGAUGCUGUGAAGGAGACCUCACCCUGACUUGCAGACUCAACUUUAGAAAUUUCUCUCUGUAUGCCAGACCCCACAUCCACCACUAGAUGUCACCCUGGUCCCACCAAAGUUUCUCACUAACGCACAUGAUCGUUUCAGGGUCCAUGGAAGCCGUGAAGAAGGAAAUGAAAGGCCUGAUUAGCUGCCUCUUGCCCACAAAUGAUGCCGUAGGUACAGGAUGCUGUGAGGAUGAAGUGAAAUGGAGCACACUGUGCGGAGCUGGGCUGCAGCAGAUAAAGCUCGCCCCAAACGCCCUGAAAGUCCCUGUUUGCAGAGAGCAAAGCAGCUUGCCCAACCACAGGCCCCUUAAACAAGAGAUACGACUUUUAACAUAAAGGAAUGCUAUUACAGCAGGAAUGUGCUGCCCAACGGCAGGAAGAGAUGAGCUCAUCGUGUUUUCAGCAGAUGAGUAAAAUGGGAAGCAAGAAUUUCAAUGACAUGAACCUGGUGACAAACAGCAGAAGUCUGAGCCAGCGUCCCACGUGAUAAGGAAGAGGCUCGAGGGGUCUGAAAUCUACUACGAUUCCAUUGCAGAAGUUCCACUGGCUUUGACAUAACACAAGGAACCAGCCAAAUGCAGCCUGUUUAGAUUACUUGUAUUUACUGUAUUUGCAGUAACAAAGAUGUAUCACAUAUAACGUUAUGCAUCCUAGUAAUCUAUCCAGAAUAACCUCCUCCUUAGUAUGCAUUCUGACCCUUGCAUGCCUUUUUAGAAAGUGAGUGGAAACCACAGUACCUCAGUCUCCACGUGGGUCCCUGUUGUGUUCCGAGGAGGUGUUCUCUCUCCCCAGUGGCCCCUGGGCUGUCGUGUGCUUUGGAUCUUAUACAAGGCUUUCAGCAGAAGGAGGGUCGGAAUGUCUGGCUAGGGACUUGAGCUUCCCACCUCCAGAGAGCAGAGGGACAGCAUAUGGCCUGGCAGAUACAGCGACUCCCUCAAGCUGUGGACCCCAGGGACUCACGCUCUGGUGGGGCACUCCUCCCCCACCAGAGGUGGAUUUCCCAAGAGGCGCUGCUGUUUACACCCCUGCUAGGAUGGAGGUACAUAAAUGAGACAACCCUAAUAUGAUUAGUUUACACGUGGACACUUAUCUGACUCUAGGUCUCAUGGUGAGCCAUACGCAUACACAUACAUGUUGAUCUUUCUAAGAUGUGGUGACCUUACAUGCUGAUGCUGAUGAAUGGCUGUGACCAGAAUUGGGACCUCAAAUCUAAAUUAUACACACAAUAUGUGAAAGAACAUAUAUGUAAAAGUACAUAUGGCAGAGUUAAAUAAACAAAAAAUAGUCUUAAAAAAAUUAUACACACAUAUUUCAUACCAUGUCCCUGAUGGCUGGUGAAAUGACUUGGGACUGUCAGACAAUUUUAGAUGAUUUUUUUUUAAAUUAAACUACAAAAAAGUAUGCAGUCUGGAA